Molecule: ribosomal RNA, 501 nt
Filed under: uncultured bacterium
Lineage: Bacteria
Description: partial 16S ribosomal RNA
Rfam family: Bacterial small subunit ribosomal RNA
Source: RNAcentral
AUUGAACGCUGGCGGCAGGCUUAACACAUGCAAGUCGAGCGGAGAUGAGGUGCUUGCACCUUAUCUUAGCGGCGGACGGGUGAGUAAUGCUUAGGAAUCUGCCUAUCAGUGGGGGACAACAUUCCGAAAGGAAUGCUAAUACCGCAUACGUCCUACGGGAGAAAGCAGGGGAUCUUCGGACCUUGCGCUAAUAGAUGAGCCUAAGUGGGAUUAGCUAGUUGGUGGGGUAAAGGCCUACCAAGGCGACGAUCUGUAGCGGGUCUGAGAGGAUGGUCCGCCACACUGGGACUGAGGCGCGGGCCAGAGUCCUACGGGAGGCAGCAGUGGGGAAUAUUGGACAAUGGGGGGAACCCUGAUCCAGCCAUGCCGGGUGUGUGAAGAAGGCCUUAUGGUUGUAAAGCACUUUAGGCGAGGAGGAGGCUACUGAGACUAAUACUCUUGGAUAGUGGACGUUACUCGCAGAAUAAGCACCGGCUAACUCUGUGCCAGCAGCCGCCGCCG